GACGAACGCUGGCGGCGUGCCUAACACAUGCAAGUCGAACGGAAAGGCCCUGCUUUUGUUGGGCGCUCGAGUGGCGAACGGGUGAGUAACACGUGAGUAACCUGCCCUUGACUUUGGGAUAACUUUUGGAAACUGCGGCUAAUACCGCAUAGGAUCUCCUGCUGCAUGGUGUGCGUUGGAAAGUUUCGGCGGUUCUGGAUGGACUCGCUGCUUAUUAGCUUCAUUGUGUAGUAGUGGCUUACCAAGGCUACGACGGCUAGCCUGCCUGGGAGGGUGACCAGGCACAUUGGGCCUGAGGUAGGGCCCAGACUGAAACGGGAGGCAGCGGUGGGAAAUAUUGCGAAAUAAGCGGACGCCUGAUACAGAAACGUCGGGUGCGGGAUAACGGGUUUCGGGGUAAAAACCGCUUUCGACUGAAAAGAACAGUGAGUGACGGUAAUGAAUCAAAAAGCAACGGCUAACUACGUG
RNAcentral lists this ribosomal RNA (468 nucleotides) under uncultured bacterium. RNAcentral describes it as "partial 16S ribosomal RNA". It matches the Rfam family "Bacterial small subunit ribosomal RNA", at positions 28 to 507 of the family's 1533-position model. The record is from RNAcentral.